Molecule: ribosomal RNA, 497 nt
Filed under: uncultured bacterium
Lineage: Bacteria
Description: partial 16S ribosomal RNA
Rfam family: Bacterial small subunit ribosomal RNA
Source: RNAcentral
GAUGAACGCUGGCGGCGUGCCUAAUACAUGCAAGUCGAGCGAACGGACGAGAAGCUUGCUUCUCUGAUGUUAGCGGCGGACGGGUGAGUAACACGUGGAUAACCUACCUAUAAGACUAGGAUAACUUCGGGAAACCGGAGCUAAUACCGGAUGAUAUUUUGAACCGCAUGGUUCAAAAGUGAAAGACGGUCUUGCUGUCACUUAUAGAUGGGUCCGCGCUGCAUUAGCUAGUUGGUAAGGUAACGGCUUACCAAGGCAACGAUGCAUAGCCGACCUGAGAGGGUGAUUGGCCACACUGGAACUGAGACACGGUCCAGACUCCUACGGGAGGCAGCAGUAGGGAAUCUUCCGCAAUGGGCGAAAGCCUGACGGAGCAACGCCGCGUGAGUGAUGAAGGUCUUCGGAUCGUAAAACUCUGUUAUUAGGGAAGAACAUAUGUGUAAGUAACUGUGCACAUCUUGACGGUACCUAAUCAGAAAGCCACGGCUAACUACGUG